RNAcentral lists this ribosomal RNA (469 nucleotides) under uncultured bacterium. RNAcentral's name for it is "partial 16S ribosomal RNA". It matches the Rfam family "Bacterial small subunit ribosomal RNA", at positions 28 to 506 of the family's 1533-position model. The record is from RNAcentral.
GACGAACGCUGGCGGCGUGCCUAACACAUGCAAGUCGAACGGUGAACGAGGGAGCUUGCUCCCUCCGGAUCAGUGGCGAACGGGUGAGUAACACGUGAGCAAUCUGCCCCGAACUCUGGGAUAAGCGUUGGAAACGACGUCUAAUACCGGAUACGACGCGGGAGGGCAUCCUCUCCGCGUGGAAAGAACUUCGGUUCGGGAUGAGCUCGCGGCCUAUCAGCUUGUUGGUGAGGUAACGGCUCACCAAGGCGACGACGGGUAGCCGGCCUGAGAGGGUGACCGGCCACACUGGGACUGAGACACGGCCCAGACUCCUACGGGAGGCAGCAGUGGGGAAUAUUGCACAAUGGGCGCAAGCCUGAUGCAGCAACGCCGCGUGAGGGACGACGGCCUUCGGGUUGUAAACCUCUUUUAGCAGGGAAGAAGCGAAAGUGACGGUACCUGCAGAAAAAGCACCGGCUAACUACGU